RNAcentral lists this transfer RNA (97 nucleotides) under Bacteroides faecichinchillae. Its description in RNAcentral is "tRNA_Thr_GGT". It matches the Rfam family "tRNA". From Rfam's summary of the family: Transfer RNA (tRNA) molecules are approximately 80 nucleotides in length. Their secondary structure includes four short double-helical elements and three loops (D, anti-codon, and T loops). Lineage: Bacteria; Pseudomonadati; Bacteroidota; Bacteroidia; Bacteroidales; Bacteroidaceae. The record is from RNAcentral.
GGAGAAAUGGCGGAUUGGUAGACGCAAGUAUGCAGAUAGAUUGAAGAAAGUCAUACAUAGGUAAUCUAUCGUCCCGGUUCGAAUCCGGGUUUCUCCA